This is an RNA transcript of Glycine soja, 3219 nucleotides long. It is a transcript of the gene named MDIS1-interacting receptor like kinase 2-like, with no coding region annotated. The record is from RefSeq and is a predicted model, not a curated record. The transcript is spliced from 3 exons. NCBI's taxonomy places the organism in Eukaryota, Viridiplantae, Streptophyta, Magnoliopsida, Fabales, Fabaceae.
CUGAAAUUAAAUCGAAGCAUCUUUACGUAAUUAUUUAUCCACUCUAAGAUUGUAUUAGACAAUCAGUGAUUGAAGAAUUCACCCAAUAUACACCAGCCAUGGUGUUCAUAUUUCCAACGUUUCAUUCCAUGAAGCUCCUAUCAUUUUGGUUGCUUCUAAUAGUAAUGCGGUUUGGUGCAUUCAUUAUGGCCACUUCUCUCCUUGCUACUGCAUCCUCUGCCUCACUCACACUACAACACAGUGAAGCAAAAGCUUUGUUGAAGUGGAAAGCCAGCCUUGACAACCAAAGUCAGGCUUUGUUAUCUUCAUGGGGUGGCAAUAGUCCUUGCAGCAAUUGGCUUGGAAUUGCUUGUGACCACUCCAAAUCUGUCUCCAACAUAACUCUUAGAGGUAUUGGGUUAACGGGUACGCUUCAAACUCUCAACUUUUCAUCACUUCCAAACAUCCUCAUUCUAGAUAUGAGUCAUAACUCAUUGAAUGGAAGUAUUCCUCCCCAAAUUGGGGUUCUGUCACAACUUACUCAUCUUGGUUUAGGUGUGAAUAAUCUCUCUGGACCAAUUCCUUCCACUAUAGGAAACUUGACAAAGCUCACCAAACUCAGUCUGCGCUCAAAUAAACUCUCAGGGCCAAUUCCUUCCACUAUUGGAAACUUGACAAAGCUCAGCACACUUGCCUUAUUCUCAAAUAAGCUUAGUGGAAACAUUCCAAUAGAAUUGAACAAGCUUAGCAACCUGAAAAUUUUGUCUUUUUCUUACAAUAAUUUCAUAGGUCCUUUGCCUCACAACAUUUGCAUUAGUGGAAAGUUGAUGAACUUUACUGCUAAUGAUAACUUUUUCACGGGCCCACUACCAAAGAGUUUGAAGAAUUGUUCCAGCCUUGUAAGGUUGAGGCUUGAUCAAAAUCAACUGACUGGAAAUAUAGCAGAUGAUUUUGGUGUCUAUCCAAAUUUGGAUUAUAUUGACCUAAGUGAAAAUAAAUUGUAUGGUCAUCUUUCCCAAAACUGGGGAAAGUGCUAUAAACUCACAAGCCUUAAAAUCUCCAAUAACAAUUUAUCUGGCAGCAUCCCUGUAGAACUAAGCCAGGCAACCAAUUUACAUGUACUUCACCUAACUUCAAACCAUUUCACAGGAGGCAUUCCAGAAGAUUUAGGUAAAUUGACCUACUUGUUUGAUCUCUCUCUCGAUAACAAUAAUCUUUCAAGGAAUGUCCCUAUACAAAUAGCAUCAUUGAAAAAUCUUAAAACCUUGAAACUUGGAGCAAAUAAUUUCAUUGGCUUGAUUCCAAAUCAUCUUGGCAAUUUGGUCAACUUAUUACACUUAAAUUUGAGCCAAAAUAAAUUCAGGGCAAGUAUUCCAUCUGAGUUUGGUAAACUAAAAUAUCUUCGAAGUCUUGAUCUUAGCAAGAACUUUCUGAGUGGAACAAUAGCACCAUUGCUUCGAGAGUUGAAAAGCUUAGAAACAUUGAAUCUCUCUCAUAAUAAUCUUUCAGGGGAUCUCUCUAGCCUUGAAGAGAUGGUAAGCUUGAUAUCAGUUGAUAUAUCGUACAACCAAUUACAGGGUUCACUUCCAAACAUUCCAGCCUUCAAUAAUGCUUCAAUGGAGGAAUUGAGAAAUAAUAAAGGCUUGUGUGGCAACGUCUCAAGCUUGGAACCAUGCCCAACAUCAAGUAACAGAUCUCCAAAUAAUAAGACUAACAAAGUCAUAUUGGUAUUACUACCCAUUGGUUUGGGUACUUUAUUACUAUUAUUUGCCUUUGGAGUCUCAUAUCAUCUUUUUCGAAGCUCAAACAUACAAGAACACUGUGAUGCAGAAUCACCAAGCAAAAAUCUAUUUGUGAUAUGGAGUUUGGAUGGAAAAAUGGCGUAUGAGAACAUAGUCAAAGCCACAGAAGAGUUUGACAAUAAACAUCUCAUCGGGGUUGGAGGACAAGGUAGUGUUUAUAAAGCAGAACUGCACACAGGUCAAGUAGUUGCUGUCAAGAAACUGCAUUCAAUCCAAAAUGGAGAAAUGUCCAAUAUUAAAGCUUUCACAAGUGAAAUUCAAGCUUUGGCAAAAAUUCGACAUCGUAACAUUGUGAAGUUAUAUGGCUUUUGUUCUCAUUCACGAGUCUCAUUUUUGGUGUAUGAGUUCUUGGAAAAGGGAAGCAUGAAUAAGAUUUUAAAAGAUGAUGAACAAGCAAUUGCAUUUAAUUGGAAUAGGAGGAUGAAUGCCAUAAAAGAUGUAGCAAAUGCAUUGUGCUAUAUGCAUCAUGAUUGUUCUCCUCCAAUUGUUCAUCGAGAUAUAUCAAGCAAAAAUGUUCUUUUGGAUUUGGAAUAUGUGGCUCAUGUCUCAGAUUUUGGAACAGCCAAGCUUCUUAAUCCUGAUUCAACCAAUUGGACCUCACUUGCUGGCACUUUUGGAUAUGCUGCUCCAGAACUUGCAUACACAAUGGAAGUGAAUGAUAAAAGCGAUGUGUAUAGCUUUGGGGUAUUAGCAUUGGAAAUUGUUUUUGGAGAGCACCCUGUAGAUUUUAUAAAUUCUUCAUUAUGGACAUCUUCAUCCAAUGUCAUGGACUUAACAUUUGACAUUCCUUCCUUAAUGAUUAAGUUAGACCAACGUCUCCCUUAUCCUACAAAUCUUGCUGCUAAGGAGAUAGCUUUGAUUGUAAAAAUAGCAAAUGCUUGCUUGGCUGAAAGUCCUUCUUUGCGCCCUACCAUGAAGCAAGUUGCCAAGGAGCUUGCAAUGUCAAAGUCAUCUUCAAUCCAUUAAUUUCACAUUGUCAUUGCCAAGGAGCUUGCGUGAGUUCUACUCGUCCAUCCCCCCUAUCCAACUUUGCGAUAACUUGCAUACACAAUGGAAGUAAAUGAUAAAUGUGAUGUAUAUAGCUUUGGGGUAUUAGCAUUGGAAAUACUUUGUGGAGGGCACCCUGGAGAUUUUAUAACUUCAUUGAUGACAUCUUCACCAAAUGUCAUGGACUCAACACUUGAUAUUCCUUCAUUGAUCGGUAACUUAGACUGACGUGUCCCUUAUCCUCCAAAUCCUAUUGCUAAGGAGAUAGUUUGAUUGUGAGGAUAGUAAAUGCUUGCUUGACUGAAAGACCUUGUUCUCCCCCUACUAUGAUGCAAGUUGCGAUGGAUCUUGCAAUGUGAAAGUCAUCUUCAAUCCGUUAAUUUCACAUUGUCAUGUAUAUUUAGUUGAAAGAUUAAAUUUGCCGAAUAUAAGCAUGAUUUCUACUCCCCCA